UGCAGAGAACUUUCCAGAGAUGGAUUGGUGCCUUCGGGAACUCUGACACAGGUGCUGCAUGGCUGUCGUCAGCUCGUGCGUGAGAUGUUGGGUUAAGUCCGUAACGAGCGCAACCCUUGUCCUUAGUUACCAGCACGUUAUGGUGGGCACUCUAAGGAGACUGCCGGUGACAAACCGGAGGAAGGUGGGGAUGACGUCAAGUCAUCAUGGCCCUUACGGCCUGGGCUACACACGUGCUACAAUGGUCGGUACAAAGGGUUGCCAAGCCGCGAGGUGGAGCUAAUCCCAUAAAACCGAUCGUAGUCCGGAUCGCAGUCUGCAACUCGACUGCGUGAAGUCGGAAUCGCUAGUAAUCGUGAAUCAGAAUGUCACGGUGAAUACGUUCCCGGGCCUA
Molecule: ribosomal RNA, 394 nt
Filed under: uncultured Pseudomonas sp.
Lineage: Bacteria; Pseudomonadati; Pseudomonadota; Gammaproteobacteria; Pseudomonadales; Pseudomonadaceae
Description: bacterial SSU rRNA
Rfam family: Bacterial small subunit ribosomal RNA
Source: RNAcentral